AUUGAACGCUGGCGGUAGGCCUAACACAUGCAAGUCGAACGGCAGCACAGGAGAGCUUGCUCUCUGGGUGGCGAGUGGCGGACGGGUGAGGAAUACAUCGGAAUCUACUUUUUCGUGGGGGAUAACGUAGGGAAACUUACGCUAAUACCGCAUACGACCUACGGGUGAAAGCAGGGGAUCUUCGGACCUUGCGCGAUUGAAUGAGCCGAUGUCGGAUUAGCUAGUUGGCGGGGUAAAGGCCCACCAAGGCGACGAUCCGUAGCUGGUCUGAGAGGAUGAUCAACCACACUGGAACUGAGACACGGUCCAGACUCCUACGGGAGGCAGCAGUGGGGAAUAUUGGACAAUGGGCGCAAGCCUGAUCCAGCCAUACCGCGUGGGUGAAGAAGGCCUUCGGGUUGUAAAGCCCUUUUGUUGGGAAAGAAAUCCAGCUGGUUAAUACCCGGUUGGGAUGACGGUACCCAAAGAAUAAGCACCGGCUAACUUCGUGCCAGCAGCCGCCGUAA
Molecule: ribosomal RNA, 506 nt
Filed under: uncultured bacterium
Lineage: Bacteria
Description: partial 16S ribosomal RNA
Rfam family: Bacterial small subunit ribosomal RNA
Source: RNAcentral